AGCAGAGAUGGAAGGAUAUGAAGUGGCUAGCCACUGGACAAGCUGGGAGAAGAACAGGCCAUCUAAGAGCCAUCCGCUCUGGGCUAGGAAAGAGCUUGCCUGUUAACAAGAGGAAGGUGGGCACAGUGAAGCAUGGUAAGCAGGGGUUAAGCUGCAGAGAGGCUGAGAGGGAAACCUGGGUGGACACCAACGACUUCCCAGCUGUGGUUCCCGUGGAAAAUACCUACAGUAAAACAUCAUCUUUCCUACACUCCCUGCUGCCCCGUGGCCCUUUGUGGUCAGUGAGAUUAAGGUGUAAAUUUGCUGUGUGGAUCUUGUGAAAACUUGAGGUUUCCAUGGUGAGAGAGGGGGCCUGACUUGCUUCACAAGUACUUUCUUUAUCCCUGCUGGGAAAGGGGCAGCUCUAUCCUGUCAGAAGCUGUGCCGAGUAAGGUAUAAUAAGAAGGAAAUCUCAAGCCUGGACAACCUUCAAGAAGAACAGAGGAAAACAAAUUACAAAUUUCUACUUGGCUAAA
RNAcentral lists this long non-coding RNA (515 nucleotides) under Rattus norvegicus (Norway rat). Its description in RNAcentral is "long non-coding RNA NONRATT009199". Lineage: Eukaryota; Metazoa; Chordata; Mammalia; Rodentia; Muridae. The record is from RNAcentral.